This 468-nucleotide ribosomal RNA is filed under the name uncultured bacterium. RNAcentral describes it as "partial 16S ribosomal RNA". It matches the Rfam family "Bacterial small subunit ribosomal RNA", at positions 28 to 507 of the family's 1533-position model. The record is from RNAcentral.
GACGAACGCUGGCGGCGUGCUUAACACAUGCAAGUCGAACGGAAAGGCCCUGCUUUUGUGGCGUGCUCGAGUGGCGAACGGGUGAGUAUCACGUGAGUAACCUGCCCUUGACUUUGGGAUAACUUCAGGAAACUGGGGCUAUUACCGCAUAGGAGCUCCUGCUGCAUGGUGGGGGUUGGAAAGUUACGGCGGUGGGGGAUGGACUCGCGGCUUAUCAGCUUGUUGGUGGGGUAGUGGCUUACAAAGGCUUUGACGGGUAGCCGGCCUGGGAGGGUGACCGGCCACAUUGGGACUGAGGUACGGCCCAGACGGAUACGGGAGGCAGCAGUGGGGAAUAGUGCAAAAUGGGCGGAAGCCGGAUGCAGCAACGCCGCGUGCGGGAUGACGGCCUUCGGGGUGUAAACCGCUUUCGCCUGUGACGAAGAGUGAGUGACGGUAAUGGGUAAAGAAGCACCGGCUAACUACGUG